GAUGGCCUAGUGGUUAAAGCGUUCGCCUCGGAUGCGGGAGGUCGUGUGUUCGAUGCCCUGCCGAGUCAUACCA
Non-coding RNA from Potamilus streckersoni, 73 nucleotides. Lineage: Eukaryota; Metazoa; Mollusca; Bivalvia; Unionida; Unionidae. The record is from the annotation of a GenBank genome assembly.